Molecule: ribosomal RNA, 641 nt
Filed under: uncultured Bacilli bacterium
Lineage: Bacteria; Bacillati; Bacillota; Bacilli
Description: bacterial SSU rRNA
Rfam family: Bacterial small subunit ribosomal RNA
Source: RNAcentral
GAAGGAGGAGCUUGCUUCUCUGGAUGAGUUGCGAACGGGUGAGUAACGCGUAGGUAACCUGCCUGGUAGCGGGGGAUAACUAUUGGAAACGAUAGCUAAUACCGCAUAAUAGUAGAUGUUGCAUGACAUUUGCUUAAAAGGUGCAAUUGCAUCACUACCAGAUGGACCUGCGUUGUAUUAGCUAGUUGGUGGGGUAACGGCUCACCAAGGCGACGAUACAUAGCCGACCUGAGAGGGUGAUCGGCCACACUGGGACUGAGACACGGACCAGACUCCUACGGGAGGCAGCAGUAGGGAAUCUUCGGCAAUGGACGGAAGUCUGACCGAGCAACGCCGCGUGAGUGAAGAAGGUUUUCGGAUCGUAAAGCUCUGUUGUAAGAGUAGAACGAGUUGUGAGAGUGGAAAGGUCACACUGUGACGGUAUCUUACCAGAAAGGGACGGCUGAACUACGUGCCAGCAGCCGCGGUAAUACGUAGGUCCCGAGCGUUGUCCGGAUUUAUUGGGCGUAAAGCGAGCGCAGGCGGUUAGAUAAGUCUGAAGUUAAAGGCUGUGGCUUAACCAUAGUACGCUUUGGAAACUGUUUAACUUGAGUGCAAGAGGGGAGGGUGGAAUUCCAUGUGUAGCUGGUGAAAUGCGUAGA